This is a long non-coding RNA of Rattus norvegicus (Norway rat), 1053 nucleotides long. RefSeq lists it as uncharacterized. The record is from RefSeq and is a predicted model, not a curated record. Lineage: Eukaryota; Metazoa; Chordata; Mammalia; Rodentia; Muridae.
UUUGUGAUUGAGGCUUUAGUGAAAGCGUUCCGCUUCCAGGUGGAUUCCCUACGGCCUCGGGCAGGCGGGAGUCUGAGCUGAAAGUGACAAAUGACUCCCGGGCAAUUUGACUUAUGCAAAGAAAUUCUGUGAUUCCGGAACAAGAAACUUCCAGUGUGGGGCCCGAAUCAGAUCCCGAGAUCGGGAUCCUGAGAUCCAAAGAGCGGUACCCAGGCUCUUUCUUGCUCAUGGCCUCACUCUAUGUCCCUUGGGUACUGUGUUCGUGGGCGGGCCGUGGGUGGUGGCACUCCUGCAACCUCAGGGAGAGUAACCCGGCGACAGCUUGAGGAACCUAAGGCGGCUUCUCAUUGGGCCUGACUGGGUCAUGUGCUCAGCUGGCCCAGUCUCUGUGGGUAGCGGCAGGCCCUGCUGUUGGAGAAUUGGGCAAGACCAGCCUGGCCUAGAGAAACCGGGAUACCAUCCCGGAAGCGGAAGUGCACAGACCAGGAGAGCCCUCGGCCUGCAUCUUCUGCAGGAGGGCGUCCAGGAGGGUUUUAGGGGCUAAAGAUGGUAGGGCAAAGCCCCCUGGUUGCUCCUUGGCGGGUUCUCCAAUUACUUACAUGGAGAUCACAUCAAUAUGACCCCCAAGAUGAUGCCAGGGGCCCUGCUUCUAGUAGAAUGGAGCCAUACCAGCUCUACAGACUUUAUUGGGGUCCAGGGUGGAGACACUUUUGGGAGCCAGCUUUGUCAGCAUCCCUGACAUCUGAGCUGCCCAGGCUGCACAGGACCAAGGGCUAUCUUCCAAUGGAUGUUGGAAGCCCGGAAGCCCCUUGACUGUUACCAGGCCGGGGUGUGGAGUGAUCCUCACAGGAGCUGCUGGGUUCUCUUGCUCUCUGGGCUUGCUUCAGGAUUUUUUCUUGAGCAGCCAUGGGACCUCACAAAGGAGUAGCACCUGAAUCAGCCUGCAAAGGCAUCUUCCACCAGUCCUAGGACCUGCAGGGGGCAGGGGGUGUUGCAGGCAGAUCUCCGUCUGACCCUGUCAUCUGAGUCACCCCAAUAAAGGUGUCAAGAGCU